UUUUUGAAAAACCUUUUUUUUUUUUUAAUUUGAGUAAGUGGACACACAAUGCUAUGUUAGCUUCAAGUUCAACGACACUUUUUGAGCCCUUCCUCUAAGGCAGAAAUACUCAAGACUAUUUCCGAUACACGUUCAAUACAUCCUGGAUAUACAACUACAGUUAUUAAACUUACUUAAUUCUCACAACAACUUUAUGAGAUAGGCCUUUUAAGGAACAGAGAGGUUAACUCACUUGGCCAGAAUCACACAGCUAACAAGCAUCAGAGCCACAUUUCAAAGCCAGUCCAGCAGUCUGAUGCCAGAGGAGUACCAUCUUCUCGAAGAGGAACACUGGAAAUAACCAUACAUCAGACACCUGAAGCAAUCAGGCCUCGGAAUGUAACACUAUUAAACCAUCUCAAGAAUUCAAGAUGGCGGGAAAGCUGAAGAGAAUAUGGACCAUAAACCUUUGCUCCAAGCCCUGACCCACCCAGCGCAAGUACCAAGUUUAUUCACAAAACACAAAGGGGUGUGGUUUGAUACUAUGUCAUUGCCAGUUUUUGAUAGCAGGCAAGCUUCAAAAAGUCCAUGCACAUCACCGCAAUACUUACCAACAACACACACACCGUUUGGAGGCCCUGGUACAAAUAUAUCUGCCUUAAUGAAUAGAAAAGGCAUCACAGAAUCUGAGAGCCACCUUCUCCUACUCCUGUGUCGGUAACAAGACGGGGAAAACCACCUGAGACAGGGACUCCAUCCGGGUCUGAAGUCUUAAGGGCGGAUCCAUAGAGGAACAUCAAUCCCAGUUUAUGGCGGAGGGCAGUAACUCACCCAGCAAUACUGCCAGCAAGAGGAAAGCUGAACAGUUAAUGACCAGGCUGGCCUUUGAACCUAAGGGGGAUCUUAAUAGACAGAACUAAUUAAAAUCAAUACUCAUGUGGUAAUCACAAAAAGAAGAAAAAAAAAGGGCUCAAGAUAAAUUUUUAAGUGGAGGGCAACAAGCAGUCUCCAUUCUUCAGGCCGAUCUUGGGAUCUGGUUUACCAGCAAAUGUGUACCAACAGAUAGUCUUUCUGGAAAUGCCUAGGCAGAGGUGGGAAAGUCAUCGUACACACGAAGCCCACCGGAAUCAUUUCCCGAGCCUCUGGAUGUGUGGUCAGAAGUGGUCAGGGACACUGCAUUUGUAAAGACGGGGCCAUGCUAACAUUAACUGUUCUGAGGCCGAAUACAGGAAAACUGGAAACGGACACCUCUGGCUGUGUGGCCUUGGAGAAUCUAUUUAAUUUCUCUAGGCCCCAGUUUUUUCAUCUGUAAAAUAAGCAGAGAAAAACAGAUGAUCUCCGAGAUCCCUUCAGUUGUGUGAUUUUGGAACACCGUAUCUCAGACAUGCAGCUAGGAGCCUAGAAGAGAUGUUCAAAAAGAACAAUACAAAUAAUGGGUCAUACCCUUUUUUAAAAAAAUAAUGUUUCAGGGUGCCUGGGUGGCUCAGUAGGUUGAGUGUCCAACUUUGGCUCAGUCACGAUCUCGUGGUUCGUGAGUUCGAGCCCCACGU
Molecule: long non-coding RNA, 1529 nt
Organism: Felis catus (domestic cat)
Lineage: Eukaryota; Metazoa; Chordata; Mammalia; Carnivora; Felidae
Exons: 3
Source: RefSeq, a predicted model, not a curated record